Molecule: long non-coding RNA, 227 nt
Organism: Carassius auratus (goldfish)
Lineage: Eukaryota; Metazoa; Chordata; Actinopteri; Cypriniformes; Cyprinidae
Exons: 3
Source: RefSeq, a predicted model, not a curated record
CAGGCACACUGAACCAUAUGACUAGCAGCGAACAAUACAUCGUGGACCAAAGAGGAAACUGACAACACAGAGACCGAAGAAGACAGAGAAGGUCACUUCUGAUCGCUGUAGUGCCUCAGUCCAGUGGAGUGAUUGGGAGUCCCACGGAGGAGAUCGGAAGGAUAUAAAAGAGGAGUGAUGACAGUGAAGGACGAGGGAGGACCAGGCCUGGGCUUUAUUUUGUGUUU